AUACGUAGGGGGCGAGCGUUGUCCGGAAUGAUUGGGCGUAAAGGGCGCGUAGGCGGCGCGGUAAGUCUGGAGUGAAAGUCCUGUUUUCAAGAUGGGAAUUGCUUUGGAUACUGUCGGGCUUGAGUGCAGGAGAGGUAAGUGGAAUUCCCAGUGUAGCGGUGAAAUGCGUAGAGAUUGGGAGGAACACCAGUGGCGAAGGCGACUUACUGGACUGUAACUGACGCUGAGGCGCGAAAGUGUGGGGAGCAAACAGGAUUAGAUACCCUGGUAGUCCACACUGUAAACGAUGAAUGCUAGGUGUAGGGGGUAUCGACCCCUUCUGUGCCGCAGUCAACACAAUAAGCAUUCCGCCUGGGGAGUACGGCCGCAAGGUUGAAACUCAAAUGAAUCGACGGGG
RNAcentral lists this ribosomal RNA (397 nucleotides) under uncultured bacterium. RNAcentral describes it as "partial 16S ribosomal RNA". It matches the Rfam family "Bacterial small subunit ribosomal RNA", at positions 523 to 918 of the family's 1533-position model. The record is from RNAcentral.